Molecule: long non-coding RNA, 780 nt
Filed under: Callithrix jacchus (white-tufted-ear marmoset)
Lineage: Eukaryota; Metazoa; Chordata; Mammalia; Primates; Cebidae
Description: lncRNA (ENSCJAG00000073483.1)
Source: RNAcentral
UUUCUGAAAACAGAAGAGAUACAGUCUUCAUUUAAAAGUGAUCCAUGAAGUGACAUCAGCAAGAUAAGCAACUAAACUGCCUGGCUUUUGUCCCCACCCCAAAAGGGACUAAAACAAUGAUUAAACAGCUACAUUUUGGCUGGAAUAUCUGAAGAAUUGUGCUGGAGAGUACCAAGGAAACAGUGAAACUCUUGUGGAGCACAGAAGCCCAGGAUAGUCAAUAAAGACGGGAGUGAGACAUCCUGCCUUUGCCAUAUUAUCUCCUUCACUAGGAUCAGAUUGGAGCCAGAGAGUACUCUUUUUAUGGAUAAAGCUGUUCCAGCAAAUCAAAUGAACCCAAAGAAGGACCUGGAAUUGCCAACAUGAAGCCAGUCAGUCACAAGUUCCAGACUUUUUCCAUCAUUUGCCACUGAUAUCUGAAGGUGUGUGUGUGUAUAGGUAGGGGUGGGCAGUCUUGAGGACUGAUAUAUAAAUAAAAUAGAUAUAAUAUUGCCUAAUUAAUAUUUAAAAAUCAAAUACUAUAAUUAAAAACUGAUAUUGACACAACAAUAUAAAAAUACAAAUAAAAAUUAUAGAAUACAGAUAUAUUUUUUCUGUAAAAUACUAAGGGACAGUUGGGGUGUAAAUAUGUUGUUUUGAGCAAAGUUAAUUGAUUUCAUGUUAACAAUUAAUAUUUUUCUUUCAUGCAGUAAAAAUUUUUAAAAGGAGAUGAAACCCCUUUGGAAUCAAAUUGAUGUUUAAAUUUGCCUUCCUUUUACUUAUUUUCAUAGACAAAAUAUA